This 526-nucleotide ribosomal RNA is filed under the name bacterium 82_VP7_D8. RNAcentral's name for it is "bacterial SSU rRNA". It matches the Rfam family "Bacterial small subunit ribosomal RNA", at positions 337 to 858 of the family's 1533-position model. The record is from RNAcentral.
UCCUAAAGGAGGCAGCAGUAGGGAAUCUUCCGCAAUGGACGAAAGUCUGACGGAGCAACGCCCCGUGAACGAUGAAGGCCUUCGGGUCGUAAAGUUCUGUUGUUAGGGAAGAACAAGUACCAGAGUAACUGCUGGUACCUUGACGGUACCUAACCAGAAAGCCACGGCUAACUACGUGCCAGCAGCCGCGGUAAUACGUAGGUGGCAAGCGUUGUCCGGAAUUAUUGGGCGUAAAGCGCGCGCAGGCGGUUUCUUAAGUCUGAUGUGAAAGCCCACGGCUCAACCGUGGAGGGUCAUUGGAAACUGGGGAACUUGAGUGCAGAAGAAGAGAGUGGAAUUCCACGUGUAGCGGUGAAAUGCGUAAAGAUGUGGAGGAACACCAGUGGCGAAGGCGACUCUCUGGUCUGUAACUGACGCUGAGGCGCGAAAACCUGGGGAGCGAAAAGGAUUAGAUUACCUGGGAGUCCACGCCGAAACAAUGAGUGCUAAGGGUAAAAGGGUUCCCCCCUUAAUGCCGCACAAACGC